UUAGGUUAUGCCUGUUUGGUUUUAGGUUGGGGUGACCACGGAGUAUAAAACAACCUCCAUGAAAAAAGGACCAAAAAUCCUUAUUAGAGAAAGACAUUUCUAAAAUUAAUAAAUUAAUUUUUAAUGAUCCGAUAUUCGAUCAACGAACCAAGUUACCCUGGGGAUAACAGCGCAAUCCACUUCAAGAGCUCCUAUCGACAAGUGGGUUUACGACCUCGAUGUUGGAUCAGGGUAUCCUAGUGGUGCAGCAGCUACUAACGGUUCGUUUGUUCAACGAUUAAAACCCU
RNAcentral lists this ribosomal RNA (287 nucleotides) under Boophis elenae. RNAcentral's name for it is "partial 16S ribosomal RNA". It matches the Rfam family "Bacterial large subunit ribosomal RNA", at positions 2247 to 2597 of the family's 2925-position model. Lineage: Eukaryota; Metazoa; Chordata; Amphibia; Anura; Mantellidae. The record is from RNAcentral.